AUGGGUUUUCGUAUUCCUAGUAUGAUCAGAAGAGCAUCAUCUUCUAAAGCUAUGGCCAUGCCAAAAGGACACGUUGCUGUGUAUGUUGGAGAGAAACAGACGCGGUAUGUGAUUCCAAUUUCAUACUUGAACCAACCGUCGUUUCAAGACUUGCUUAGUCAAGCCGAGGAAGAGUUUGGAUACGAUCAUCCGAUGGGUGGCCUCACCAUUCCAUGCACAGAAGAUGUAUUUCAAAAUAUAACUUGUGGCUUGAAUGGAAUAUGA
This 264-nucleotide long non-coding RNA is filed under the name Vicia faba (fava bean). Lineage: Eukaryota; Viridiplantae; Streptophyta; Magnoliopsida; Fabales; Fabaceae. The record is from RNAcentral.